This 298-nucleotide ribosomal RNA is filed under the name Foraminifera environmental sample. RNAcentral's name for it is "partial small subunit ribosomal RNA". Lineage: Eukaryota; Foraminifera. The record is from RNAcentral.
CGGUCACGUUCGUUGCCUUCGAAGCAAAUGUAUAGUAAAUUACGCCGGACACAACCACGAAUGGGGUCACAUGCAGUAAUUAAUAUAAUACAAAAUGCUAUAAGUGAAACGCAAUUAAGCAGACAGAUCACUCCACGAACUAAGAACGGCCAUGCACCACCUAUCACAUAAUCAUGAAAGGACUAGCAUAUUUAGCACACAUUCACCCGAAGGGAAUGCGAUAAAACCUGUCAAUCCUCAGUGUGUCCGGACCCGGUAAGAUUUCCCGCGUUGGGUCAAAUUAAGCCACAUGCUCCAC